RNAcentral lists this long non-coding RNA (948 nucleotides) under Ananas comosus (pineapple). Its description in RNAcentral is "long non-coding RNA (ACOM_LNC000805)". The record is from RNAcentral. Lineage: Eukaryota; Viridiplantae; Streptophyta; Magnoliopsida; Poales; Bromeliaceae.
UUUCUACCGUUAGAUCUACUCUUUGAUCAUUUCUACCCAUUAGAUUAUACUUUUAAACCAACCACCCACUCAACCCUAGGGGACCACUAUCAAUUUAACCAGGGACCACUACAAUCCUAACCCCUCAUCUAUUCAUCCAACGGCCGAAAACUCAAUAGUAUCAAGGGCUUGGUACUAUUGAUAGUAUAGUAGCAUAAUUCUAUAUAUAUAUAUAUAUAUAUAUAUAUAUAUAUAUAUGAGUCCGACUGGAAUACUAUCAACAGCACAAAGCAUUUGGUGCUAUCAAGUUUUCUGCCAUUUGAUUUACCUCUUUUAUCAUUUUCAUCCGUUCGAUUAUACUAUUCAACCAACCACCCACUCAAUCCUAGGAGGCUCACAUCAUCCUAACCACACAUCCCUUAAUCCAAUGGUAGAAAAUUUAAUAGCACAAAGUCAUUGGUUCUAUUAAUAGUAUUCCAGCCUAGUCUAUAUAGGGAUGUUGUCACGCCCCGAGCCCGGUCCUAUUUGGCCGGUUCGAGCAUGACGAACAGAUGCCGAACGGACAGCACCUCCCCUGCCCGCCUAAGGCUCAACAAUAAGUACAGAGCAAGUAUAUAAAAUACAUAGCGGAAACGUAAAUAUAUACUUGACUUGCACGAGGGCAAGCAAUAGCCAAAAGUGAAGGUACUAAACUAAACCAUAUAUAAGUACAAUGAUUAAUUUUUAACCACAUACAAGCAUUCAACCACAAGUUACAUUUACCUUUCAUCAUUUCUUUUACAUCACAUAUUCCCAAAAUAGGCCUUUACAUUUAACAUCAUUCAUAUAACUCUAAUCAUCAAAAUACAAAAGAUAAUAUAUAUAAAAGGGUAUGUAACUACUCAAAAUAGAACCCGCUCGGGUGGUCUCUGUCUAUGGCGCGAUACUUUUACCGCGAUCGUCGGCCGACUCGCUCGGUCCCGGCUCUGU